Long non-coding RNA from Astatotilapia calliptera (eastern happy), 1234 nucleotides. NCBI's taxonomy places the organism in Eukaryota, Metazoa, Chordata, Actinopteri, Cichliformes, Cichlidae. The record is from Ensembl.
AACUGUUGUCACCUAAAGAAAUCAUUUCAAAUUUAUUGAUUAGAUUUUUUUUUUUAAAUAAAUUAAGACUUUGACGUUUGAGUACUACAUAUGUCUGGAACACUCCCAACAUGAUUAAAGAGGUUACUCAGCAAGCUGUAUGGACUAUAAAAGGUGAUCCUGUCCAUGGCACCACAUGCUGGGAUGACUUCAGCAGAUAUAAAAUCUUGAAACUACAAGCUGCUGUCUCAGCAUGAAGCUCAACAAACAACAGGAUUCUGUAAAAGACUCGGACGCUGUAAUGAGGAUCUUGACAUCCUUUCUUGACGGUAAUAUAUCAGGAAGGAGCGCACCAUCCAGUCUAGUGGUGCUGCACCACCCUCACGUCACUGUAAUGGCUUUCACAACCACGCAAACUGUGAUUCCUCUGGCGAUCUUCAAAGCUUGCGUCCACUGGAUGCGAUCCAUGGAAUAAGCGCUGGAGGAAUUCAAAGCCUUCUCCCUCUGCCGCCAGUCACCCAGUCACUACACAAAGGACUUCAUAUGAUUUCAUCUUCAUGGUCACCAAGAGGAUCCUGGAGAUACAAAAUGCCGUGACUUUGACCCUGAUGAUUCACUGCAUCGGCAGCAGAAUCUAUUUGACUUCUGUACAAAUAUGAAUUUCAGCCAUCAGCAUGUUUCCCUGACGUCUGUUCACUUCUGCCUGAGGGAGGACUGAGCUUGUGGGAGAGCACAGCUAAUGUUAGCAACAAUAAAAUCUAUGCGAUUUUAUUUUUAAACGAGCAUCAGCAGGUUCCUGCCUGGCACAAAUGAAACCACAACAAUAUUCAAAUGCAGCAGAAACGCAGAUUUCCAGUGGUUUCCGCUCAAAUAAAGUGAAAUCGAAAACAGUUAGGUAAUAUUUUACAGUGAUGUUCACACUAUUGAUCAAUUCAGCUUGGACUAGAUUCAGGAGCUAUGAACUGAGUGCCAUAACAAGCGGUCUAUCAGGCUCUAUGCUUUUUAUUUAUUGCCAUGACAAGUGCUGAAACACCAGCAUGACCAAUUAGUCCCAUUCAUCAAUUGAUUUUUGAGCAUUGUGAUCCAUCUUAACAGCCACUACGCUCUUCUUCUCCCACCUCCACGCUCCACAAUGAGCAGUUUCUCAAUACAGUGAACACCAAGGUCAUCAGAAACAAGAAGGGUUACUGGAGGUCGGUCAAUGUGCAUAAUAUUCUGGUAAUGCUGAGGAUGAAUGAUUAAAUAUAAAUUACAC